AGCAGCCGCGGUAAUUCCAGCUCCAAUAGCGUAUAUUAAAGUUGUUGCAGUUAAAAAGCUCGUAGUUGAAUUUCGGGAUCAGUAAGCCGGUCGUACCUUCGGUAUGUACUGGUGUCACUGAUUCCUCCCUUCUGAUGAACCGUUAUACCAUUUAGUUGGUGUGGCGGGGAAUCAGGACUGUUACUUUGAAAAAAUUAGAGUGUUUAAAGCAAGCUCGCGCUUGAAUACAUUAGCAUGGAAUAAUAAAAUAGGACGUUUGAUCUCCUAUUUUGUGGUUUCUAGGAUCGACGUAAUGAUUAAUAGGGAUAGUUGGGGGCAUUAGUAUUCAAUUGUCAGAGGUGAAAUUCUUGGAUUUAUUGAAGACUAACUACUGCGAAAGCAUUUGCCAAGGAUGUUUUCAUUA
This 403-nucleotide ribosomal RNA is filed under the name uncultured Glomeromycotina. RNAcentral describes it as "SSU rRNA". It matches the Rfam family "Eukaryotic small subunit ribosomal RNA", at positions 569 to 975 of the family's 1831-position model. The record is from RNAcentral. Lineage: Eukaryota; Fungi; Glomeromycota.